Molecule: ribosomal RNA, 469 nt
Filed under: uncultured bacterium
Lineage: Bacteria
Description: partial 16S ribosomal RNA
Rfam family: Bacterial small subunit ribosomal RNA
Source: RNAcentral
GGACGAACGCUGGCGGCGUGCUUAACACAUGCAAGUCGAACGGAAAGGCCCUGCUUUUGUGGGGUGCUCGAGUGGCGAACGGGUGAGUAACACGUGAGUAACCUGCCCUUGACUUUGGGAUAACUUUAGGAAACUGGGGCUAAUACCGGAUAGGAGCUCCUGCUGCAUGGUGGGGGUUGGAAAGUUUCGGCGGUUGGGGAUGGACUCGCGGCUUAUCAGCUUGUUGGUGGGGUAGUGGCUUACCAAGGCUUUGACGGGUAGCCGGCCUGAGAGGGUGACCGGCCACAUUGGGACUGAGAUACGGCCCAGACUCCUACGGGAGGCAGCAGUGGGGAAUAUUGCACAAUGGGCGGAAGCCUGAUGCAGCAACGCCGCGUGCGGGAUGACGGCCUUCGGGUUGUAAACCGCUUUCGCCUGUGACGAAGCGUGAGUGACGGUAAUGGGUAAAGAAGCACCGGCUAACUACGUG